Long non-coding RNA from Leguminivora glycinivorella, 594 nucleotides. RefSeq lists it as uncharacterized. Lineage: Eukaryota; Metazoa; Arthropoda; Insecta; Lepidoptera; Tortricidae. The record is from RefSeq and is a predicted model, not a curated record. The transcript is spliced from 4 exons.
AGUACUAGUAUAGGUAUAUCGUGUCAACAAUGAAAGAGGAAGCUUCGUACUUGGUUUUGAUGAUUGUUAUAACUUUCAAUCCUGCAGAAUCUUUUUUUGAAUAUGGUGCUCACAAAAUAGGAGAGGCUGAGUCGUUGAGAUACCAUGGUGUAAUACCUGCAUUCAGAUCCAAAUUUAAAGUUAAUGUCUCACACAACCGUACCGAUCUUGAAGACAACUACACCUACUUAAGCGUCGUAGCCACGGGUACGAUUGUGAUAAGUCAUCCGAUCGUCGUGUUUGAUUCAUACACAAACAUGCUGACCUUACAUGUCAGAUAUCCCUUAUUCCCGAUGAAAUUCUUUGUCAACGGUUUCUCUAUGCCGCUAAAACCAGCGCUUCGGUUUCACCAACCUAUCAGGAUAAAUGAAAACGAUGUUCCAGGACCGAAAAGCAAUAACAAUUUUACGGUAGUUUUUUCCAAUAUUUGUAUACUGUGUUCUAAAUGCUGUAUGAAUAAUACUCGAAAACACAUAUUUUAUUUGCUUAGACUAUAAAAAAUGGGCCUUUAUGUUAUAUACGUAUUUAAAAGUUCAAUAAAAUAUAAACAUAUUA